This 465-nucleotide ribosomal RNA is filed under the name Vreelandella stevensii. Its description in RNAcentral is "partial 16S ribosomal RNA". It matches the Rfam family "Bacterial small subunit ribosomal RNA", at positions 338 to 795 of the family's 1533-position model. The record is from RNAcentral. Lineage: Bacteria; Pseudomonadati; Pseudomonadota; Gammaproteobacteria; Oceanospirillales; Halomonadaceae.
CCUACGGGGGGCAGCAGUGGGGAAUAUUGGACAAUGGGGGCAACCCUGAUCCAGCCAUGCCGCGUGUGUGAAGAAGGCCCUCGGGUUGUAAAGCACUUUCAGUGAGGAAGAACGCCUGGUGGUUAAAACCCAUCAGGAAAGACAUCACUCACAGAAGAAGCACCGGCUAACUCCGUGCCAGCAGCCGCGGUAAUACGGAGGGUGCGAGCGUUAAUCGGAAUUACUGGGCGUAAAGCGCGCGUAGGUGGCUUGAUAAGCCGGUUGUGAAAGCCCCGGGCUCAACCUGGGAACGGCAUCCGGAACUGUCAAGCUAGAGUGCAGGAGAGGAAGGUAGAAUUCCCGGUGUAGCGGUGAAAUGCGUAGAGAUCGGGAGGAAUACCAGUGGCGAAGGCGGCCUUCUGGACUGACACUGACACUGAGGUGCGAAAGCGUGGGUAGCAAACAGGAUUAGAUACCCCAGUAGUC